CCGACUUUGGGGUUUUCUUGCCUUUUUUCUCUCAGAGUUGAGCCCCUACCCGGGCCCUUUAGUCCCUCGGUCACGAGGAACGGUGGAGUUUAGAACCUGUGAGUACGUUAGAUAGUUCGCAGUCGAGUAAGAACAGAGUUCGGGCAAGGGCGGCUGGUCCGGGACCAAGGGAAAACACGCUGGCAUGGUGAUAAGGUCAGUGGCUACCAGGCUGGAAGUUUAGCACCAGAAGGGAAUUUGGGGAUCAAUUCAACCGCCUCAUUUCAGGCAUACUUAAAUUGAAACCCAGAAAGGUGAGGUAAUUUGCAGAAGGUCACCCAGCAGCCCCUGAGCAGGCAGGACUGCAACACAAAUGUCGAACGUGGCCUUCCACUGUGUAAUACUAAGCAAAUAGACACGUAAAUUCCUUUGUAGACUUCUCAUCUUUCCUUACGCCCUGCCUCUCAUAUUACACACCUUCCCCAUUUUGCCUUUCUUCUUUUACUUUGCACUUGUUUUUGUACAUCUAAAAGGAAUUAAUUAUUCAACAGCAGUGGGAACCCUUGAAACAUAAUCUGGGGGAAAAAUCAAUAAAGUUUUCUUUAUGUCGCGUAGUUCUAAAGAGCAUGUGCUUUAGAGACAAACCUGGGCUCCAGUUAUUUACUUGUGAGACCUUUAGGUCAAUUGGCUUUUAUUACAGCUUUUUAACCAUAAUAAAAUGGGGAUCCCUGCCUCGCAGAAGGUUGAUUAAAUGGAUCAUAAAUUGUCCAACUAGUGCCUAGCAAAUAGUACAUACUCGGUAUUUUCCCCUUUUUAAUCCCCGUUUUACAGGCGAUGGAACUUACCAGAGACCAAAUAGCUAGAGAAUGGCUGAACUGGGUUUUGAAUCUAGUAAAUCUUGACCCCAGAGCUCUCCAGCCUAAAGGAGAGAACUCAGCUGAACACCUACUUCCUUCCCUACCAACUCAGCAGUUCUCAGAAAGGAAAUGGCAACCAUAUGCUUUCUCAUUAACCAAAACGAAAGGCAGCCUUGAAAAACAAGAUGUUCUGGACAAUACAGAAACCCUUCGGCCCAGGCUAGUUGGUUUCAGCUACCGCUAA
Molecule: long non-coding RNA, 1080 nt
Filed under: Macaca mulatta (Rhesus monkey)
Lineage: Eukaryota; Metazoa; Chordata; Mammalia; Primates; Cercopithecidae
Description: lncRNA (ENSMMUG00000053918.1)
Source: RNAcentral